This 482-nucleotide ribosomal RNA is filed under the name uncultured bacterium. Its description in RNAcentral is "partial 16S ribosomal RNA". It matches the Rfam family "Bacterial small subunit ribosomal RNA", at positions 30 to 507 of the family's 1533-position model. The record is from RNAcentral.
AUUGAACGCUGGCGGCAUGCCUUACACAUGCAAAUCGAACGGUAACGGGCCUUCGGGUGCCGACGAGUGGCGAACGGGUGAGUAAUACAUCGGAACGUGCCCGAUCGUGGGGGAUAACGAGGCGAAAGCUUUGCUAAUACCGCAUACGAUCUACGGAUGAAAGCAGGGGACCGCAAGGCCUUGCGCGGACGGAGCGGCCGAUGGCAGAUUAGGUAGUUGGUGGGAUAAAAGCUUACCAAGCCGACGAUCUGUAGCUGGUCUGAGAGGAUGGUCAGCCACACUGGGACUGAGACACGGCCCAGACUCCUACGGGAGGCAGCAGUGGGGAAUUUUGGACAAUGGGCGCAAGCCUGAUCCAGCCAUGCCGCGUGCAGGAUGAAGGCCUUCGGGUUGUAAACUGAUUUUGUACGGAACGAAAAGCCUUCUUUUAAUACAGGAGGGUCAUGACGGUACCGUAAGAAUAAGCACCGGCUAACUACGUG